Molecule: ribosomal RNA, 460 nt
Filed under: uncultured bacterium
Lineage: Bacteria
Description: partial 16S ribosomal RNA
Rfam family: Bacterial small subunit ribosomal RNA
Source: RNAcentral
CCUACGGGCGACAGCAGUGAGGAAUAUUGGUCAAUGGACGAGAGUCUGAACCAGCCAAGUAGCGUGAAGGAUGACUGCCCUAUGGGUUGUAAACUUCUUUUAUAUGGGAAUAAAAUGUUCCACGUGUGGGAUUUUGUAUGUACCAUAUGAAUAAGGAUCGGCUAACUCCGUGCCAGCAGCCGCGGUAAUACGGAGGAUCCGAGCGUUAUCCGGUUUUAUUGGGUUUAAAGGGAGCGUAGGUGGAUUGUUAAGUCAGUUGUGAAAGUUUGCGGCUCAACCGUAAAAUUGCAGUUGAAACUGGCAGUCUUGAGUACAGUAGAGGUGGGCGGAAUUCGUGGUGUAGCGGUGAAAUGCUUAGAUAUCACGAAGAACUCCGAUUGCGAAGGCAGUUCACUGGACUGCAACUGACACUGAGGCUCGAAAGUGUGGGUAUCAAACAGGAUUAGAUACCCCUGUAGUC